GGGGUCGAUCCGGUUUCGACGUGGGUCGCGAAACAGAGCAGGGCAUGUCGAGCACCAGUAAGCUCGUAAAUCCACUGGAAACUUACAAACGCCAACGACGAGCGUUUCGCUCUGGCCGCUUAAGCGGUGAGCCACUGCACUGAUUUGUCUUUGGGUCAGGUGGGGCAACCCACAGCAGUGUCAUCUACAAAGAAUCGGGCCUUGCCAGGUCACUGGGUAAGGUCUUAAAUCAAAGUGAAUCGCCAAGGAAGGGCCUGUCGGUCGGCACGCUCCGAGGUUAAAACUCAAAAUUGAUCGAAUAAACAUGUAGAACUGCCUGCAGAGGGCUUGCGGACGCGGGUUCAAUUCCCGCCGACUCCACCA
This 363-nucleotide transfer-messenger RNA is filed under the name Candidimonas nitroreducens. RNAcentral describes it as "Standard tmRNA". It matches the Rfam family "transfer-messenger RNA". Rfam says of the family: Bacterial tmRNA, also known as 10Sa RNA or SsrA, is named for its dual tRNA and mRNA-like properties. Its role is to liberate the mRNA from a stalled ribosome. Lineage: Bacteria; Pseudomonadati; Pseudomonadota; Betaproteobacteria; Burkholderiales; Alcaligenaceae. The record is from Rfam by way of RNAcentral.